GCACGCUAUAAUCUAAAUCCUGCUGAAUUUCAUAGUUUACCGACUUCCACAACUGAGACAAUCCAACGUUUCGGAACCAUAGCUCCUACUAACAACUGAUGUAACAUUCACAGGGUAACUAACAUACAAUGUCUACGCUAUUCCCCAUAUAUACCCCCCCACCAAACUGAAACUAGAGCCGCUGUACAUCCCUUGUCUUACAGAAAAAUCGAAACCAUUUUCCACAAAAUAUCUGCACAACAAAUCAUGCAUCUUCUAAAAUAAAAUUGUUUUCAUCAAGUUGAGAGCCCCCCCACUUGCUUCUGCAGCAUGGAUGUUCCAGAGAAAACCAUCAUCUGAUAAUUUUUCCGAUACUGCUUCAUCUGUUCUUCAGGGAUCUUUGUAAAGCUAAAUCUAUUUGUCCAGAUUGCCUCUGCUUCUUCUGCGGACGGAAGUACAAGGUUUUCUACUUUCAGGGACCGCAAAAGGUUCUCUACACAAGAAAACAGAGACUGGAAGUAACCCUGUCCUUGACAAUUAGUACUUGUAGCAA
This 532-nucleotide unclassified non-coding RNA is filed under the name Hevea brasiliensis (rubber tree). The record is from RNAcentral. Lineage: Eukaryota; Viridiplantae; Streptophyta; Magnoliopsida; Malpighiales; Euphorbiaceae.